GACGAACGCUGGCGGCGUGCUUAACACAUGCAAGUCGAACGGAAAGGCCCUGCUUGCAGGGUACUCGAGUGGCGAACGGGUGAGUAACACGUGGGUGAUCUGCCCUGCACUUCGGGAUAAGCUUGGGAAACUGGGUCUAAUACCGGAUAGGAGCCAUCUCUAGUGUGGUGGUUGGAAAGUUUUUUCGGUGUAGGAUGAGCUCGCGGCCUAUCAGCUUGUUGGUGGGGUAAUGGCGUACCAAGGCGGCGACGGGUAGCCGGCCUGAGAGAGUGUACGGCCAGACUAGGACUGGGAUACGGGCCAGACUCCGACGGGAGGGAGCAGUGGGGAAUAUUGGACAAUGGGAGCAAGCCUGAUGCAGCGACGCCGCGUGGGGGAUGAAGGCCUUCGGGUUGUAAGAACCUUUCGCUAGGGACGAAGCUUUGUUGUGACGGUACCUAGAUAAGAAGCACCGGCUAACUACGUG
This 466-nucleotide ribosomal RNA is filed under the name uncultured bacterium. RNAcentral describes it as "partial 16S ribosomal RNA". It matches the Rfam family "Bacterial small subunit ribosomal RNA", at positions 28 to 507 of the family's 1533-position model. The record is from RNAcentral.